UGGGGAAUAUUGCACAAUGGGGGAAACCCUGAUGCAGCGACGCCGCGUGAGCGAAGAAGUAUUUCGGUAUGUAAAGCUCUAUCAGCAGGGAAGAUAAUGACGGUACCUGACUAAGAAGCCCCGGCUAACUACGUGCCAGCAGUCGCGGUAAUCUCACUGU
Molecule: ribosomal RNA, 160 nt
Filed under: uncultured bacterium
Lineage: Bacteria
Description: partial 16S ribosomal RNA
Rfam family: Bacterial small subunit ribosomal RNA
Source: RNAcentral